GAUGUACAGCUUCAGGAGUCAGGACCUGCCCUGGUGAAGCCUUCUCAGACAGUGUCCCUCACCUGCACUGUCACUGGCUACUCUAUCACUAAUGGUAAUCACUGGUGGAACUGGAUCCGGCAGGUUUCAGGAAGCAAACUGGAGUGGAUAGGGUACAUAAGCUCCAGUGGUAGCACUGACAGCAAUCCAUCUCUCAAAAGUCGAAUCUCCAUCACUAGAGACACUUCCAAGAACCAGUUAUUCCUGCAGUUGAACUCUGUGACUACUGAAGAUAUAGCCACAUAUUACUGUGCAAGAGA
Non-coding RNA from Mus musculus (house mouse), 299 nucleotides. The record is from the annotation of a RefSeq genome assembly. Lineage: Eukaryota; Metazoa; Chordata; Mammalia; Rodentia; Muridae.